Molecule: non-coding RNA, 100 nt
Organism: Acanthosepion pharaonis
Lineage: Eukaryota; Metazoa; Mollusca; Cephalopoda; Sepiida; Sepiidae
Source: the annotation of a GenBank genome assembly
GUUGAAACCCCGGUUCCUGUACGAUCACCGGAUUUAAGCAAAGUAGAUCCUGGUCAGUACCUAGUUGGGUGACCGCCUGGGAAAUAUCAGCUGCUGUAAG